RNAcentral lists this ribosomal RNA (292 nucleotides) under uncultured bacterium. RNAcentral's name for it is "partial 16S ribosomal RNA". It matches the Rfam family "Bacterial small subunit ribosomal RNA", at positions 505 to 796 of the family's 1533-position model. The record is from RNAcentral.
GUGCCAGCCGCCGCGGUAAGACAGAGGGUGCAAACGUUGCUCGGAAUUACUGGGCGUAAAGCGCGUGUAGGCGGGCCGAUAAGUCAGACGUGAAAUCCCUGAGCUCAACUCAGGAACUGCAUCUGAAACUGCCGGUCUAGAGUGGUGGAGAGGGAAGCGGAAUUCCUGGUGUAGAGGUGAAAUUCGUAGAUAUCAGGAGGAACACCGGUGGCGAAGGCGACUUCCUGGACACCAACUGACGCUGAGACGCGAAAGCGUGGGGAGCAAACAGGAUUAGAAACCCCAGUAGUCC